CCUACGGGUGGCUGCAGUGGGGGAUAUUGGACAAUGGGGGGAACCCUGAUCCAGCGACGCCGCGUGAGUGAAGAAGUAUUUCGGUAUGUAAAGCUCUGUCAGCAGGGAAGAAAGAAAUGACGGUACCUGACCAAGAAGCCCCGGCUAACUACGUGCCAGCAGCCGCGGUAAUACGGAGGGGGCAAGCGUUAUCCGGAAUUACUGGGUGUAAAGGGAGCGUAGACGGUUAAGUAAGUCUGGAGUGAAAGGCCGGGGCUCAACCCCGGGACUGCUCUGGAAACUAUUUAACUUGAGUGCAGGAGAGGUAAGCGGAAUUCCUAGUGUAGCGGUGAAAUGCGUAGAUAUUAGGAGGAACACCAGUGGCGAAGGCGGCUUACUGGACUGUAACUGACGUUGAGGCUCGAAAGCGUGGGGAGCAAACAGGAUUAGAUACCCUAGUAGUC
This 443-nucleotide ribosomal RNA is filed under the name uncultured bacterium. RNAcentral describes it as "partial 16S ribosomal RNA". It matches the Rfam family "Bacterial small subunit ribosomal RNA", at positions 338 to 795 of the family's 1533-position model. The record is from RNAcentral.